Molecule: long non-coding RNA, 474 nt
Organism: Corticium candelabrum
Lineage: Eukaryota; Metazoa; Porifera; Homoscleromorpha; Homosclerophorida; Plakinidae
Exons: 3
Source: RefSeq, a predicted model, not a curated record
CACUGCUGGUUGUCACACAGCUAUUAUUGAGGUAAUCUAUAUUUAGAGCUAACAUUGGUUUAAAUUAAAUUAUGUUAAUUAAGUUAAGUUAAGUUAAUGACUCUUAGUUAAGUUGAUGGUAUCAGUCAUUGUGUUGUGACACUUAUAGGUGUAUACAUUGGAUAUGCAUUUUGGCAACUGGCAUUAUAUUUCAAACUAGGCAUUGGUUGUUAUAUGGGGAGAAGUCUAACAGAAGGCCUAUCAGACAGGUGCCAACUGGUUCUUCUAAAGGCAGGAAAGUCUUAGAGACUUGGCCAAAGUCAGGGAUGCUGAUCUGCAUCCUGUGAGAAAAGAAAUAGCGACUGCUGCUGUUGCACAUACACAAUGGAAGUUGUCUAUUACAAGUCACAAAUUAUAGAUCUGACCACAAUGUUUGGACGUUAUUAUAAUUAUAGUUCUAACAAGAGUCAGAUUACUUAUGAUUAUUUGUGGACA